UCGCCUGGUUUAUUCAAAAACAUGGCCCUUUGGUUCAAAAAAUAAAAAGGGUCUGGCCUGCCCGGUGAAGUUUUAAACGGUCGCAGCUAUAACUGUGCAAAGGUAGCAUAAUAGGUCGUCCUUUAAUUGGGGGAAAGUAUGAAUGGUCGGAUGUUGGAAAAGCUUUAUUGUGUGUAUAUUUUGAAUUUUACUUUUCUGUGCAAAGGCAGAAAUUUCUUUAUUAGACGAGAAGACCCUUUUGAGCUUAGUAUGUUUAGUGUGAAUAGUACAUUAGACUAUGUUUUUUCGGGGAAGAAAGGAAGGGAAAAUAUGCCUUCCGUUAAAAAGCAUAGAUCCAGCAUGGCUGAAAAGCGGAAGAUAGCUACCAAAGGGAUAACAGCGCAAUCUUUUUGAUAAGGCCUUAUUUAAGGAAGGGUUUGCGACCUCGAUGUUGAAUCAGAAUAUCUACUAGGUGUAGCAGCUUGGUAAGUAGGACUGUUCGUCCUUUAAAAUUCUACGUGAUCUGAG
RNAcentral lists this ribosomal RNA (507 nucleotides) under Nitidotellina minuta. Its description in RNAcentral is "partial 16S ribosomal RNA". It matches the Rfam family "Bacterial large subunit ribosomal RNA", at positions 1796 to 2609 of the family's 2925-position model. Lineage: Eukaryota; Metazoa; Mollusca; Bivalvia; Cardiida; Tellinidae. The record is from RNAcentral.